Molecule: ribosomal RNA, 253 nt
Filed under: uncultured bacterium
Lineage: Bacteria
Description: partial 16S ribosomal RNA
Rfam family: Bacterial small subunit ribosomal RNA
Source: RNAcentral
UACGUAGGGUGCGAGCGUUGUCCGGAAUUACUGGGCGUAAAGAGCUCGUAGGUGGUUUGUCGCGUUGUUCGUGAAAACUCACAGCUCAACUGUGGGCGUGCGGGCGAUACGGGCAGACUAGAGGUAUGCAGGAGAGAACGGAAUUCCUGGUGUAGCGGUGAAAUGCGCAGAUAUCAGGAGGAACCCCGGUGGCGAAGGCGGUUCUCUGGGCAUUACCUGACGCUGAGGAGCGAAAGUGUGGGGAGCGAACAGG